UGGGGAAUAUUGGACAAUGGGGGCAACCCUGAUCCAGCCAUGCCGCGUGAGUGAUGAAGGCCCUAGGGUUGUAAAGCUCUUUCAACGGUGAAGAUAAUGACGGUAACCGUAGAAGAAGCCCCGGCUAACUUCGUGCCAGCAGCCGCGGUAAUACGAAGGGGGCUAGCGUUGUUCGGAAUCACUGGGCGUAAAGCGCGCGUAGGCGGGUCGCUAAGUCAGGGGUGAAAUCCUGGAGCUCAACUCCAGAACUGCCUUUGAUACUGGCGACCUUGAGUCCGGGAGAGGUGAGUGGAAUUGCGAGUGUAGAGGUGAAAUUCGUAGAUAUUCGCAAGAACACCAGUGGCGAAGGCGGCUCACUGGCCCGGUACUGACGCUGAGGUGCGAAAGCGUGGGGAGCAAACAGGAUUAGAUACCCCCGUAGUCC
Molecule: ribosomal RNA, 424 nt
Filed under: uncultured prokaryote
Description: bacterial SSU rRNA
Rfam family: Bacterial small subunit ribosomal RNA
Source: RNAcentral